Molecule: transfer RNA, 36 nt
Filed under: Coussapoa glaberrima
Lineage: Eukaryota; Viridiplantae; Streptophyta; Magnoliopsida; Rosales; Urticaceae
Description: partial tRNA-Phe
Source: RNAcentral
CGGGAUAGCUCAGCUGGUAAAGCAGAGGACUGAAAA